RNAcentral lists this ribosomal RNA (497 nucleotides) under uncultured bacterium. RNAcentral describes it as "partial 16S ribosomal RNA". It matches the Rfam family "Bacterial small subunit ribosomal RNA", at positions 28 to 507 of the family's 1533-position model. The record is from RNAcentral.
GAUGAACGCUGGCGGCGUGCCUAAUACAUGCAAGUCGAGCGAACAGACGAGGAGCUUGCUCCUCUGACGUUAGCGGCGGACGGGUGAGUAACACGUGGAUAACCUCCCUAUAAGACUGGGAUAACUUCGGGAAACCGGAGCUACUACCGGAUAAUAUAUUGAACCGCAUGGUUCAAUAGUGAAAGACGGUUUUGCUGUCACUUAUAGAUGGAUCCGCGCCGCAUUAGCUAGUUGGUAAGGUAACGGCGUACCAAGGCAACGAUGCGUAGCCGACCUGAGAGGGUGAUCGGUCACACUGGAACUGAGACACGGUCCAGACUCCUACGGGAGGCAGCAGUAGGGAAUCUUCCGCAAUGGGCGAAAGCCUGACGGAGCAACGCCGCGUGAGUGAUGAAGGUCUUCGGAUCGUAAAACUCUGUUAUUAGGGAAGAACAAAUGUGUAAGUAACUAUGCACGUCAUGACGGUACCUAAUCAGAAAGCCACGGCUAACUACGUG